Molecule: non-coding RNA, 345 nt
Organism: Pelobates cultripes (western spadefoot toad)
Lineage: Eukaryota; Metazoa; Chordata; Amphibia; Anura; Pelobatidae
Source: the annotation of a GenBank genome assembly
AAUGAAGCAGUUUUGGUGUAUAGAACAUGCCCCUGCAACCUCACUGCUCAAUCCUCUGCCAUUUAGGAGUUAAAUCCCUUUGUUUGUGAACCCUAGUCACACCUCCCUGCAUGUGACUUGCACAGCCUUCCAUAAACACUUCCUGUAAAGAGAGCCCUAUUUAGGCUUUCUUUAUUGCAAGUUCUGUUUAAUAAAGAUUUUCUUAUCCCCUGCUAUGUUAAUAGCUUGCUAGACCCUGCAAGAGCCUCCUGUAUGUGAUUAAAGUUCAAUUUAGAGAUUGAGAUACAAUUAUUUAAGGUAAAUUACAUCUGUUUGAAAGUGAAACCAGUUUUUUUUUCAUGCAGG